UACAGAGGUCCCAAGCGUUGUUCGGAUUCAUUGGGCGUAAAGGGUGCGUAGGCGGCGCGGUAAGUCGGGUGUGAAAUCUCGGAGCUUAACUCCGAAACUGCAUUCGAUACUGCCGUGCUUGAGGACUGGAGAGGAGACUGGAAUUUACGGUGUAGCGGUGAAAUGCGUAGAUAUCAUGAGGAAGACCAGUGGCGAAGGCGGGUCUCUGGACAGUUCCUGACACUGAGACACGAAGGCCAGGGGAGCAAACGGG
This 253-nucleotide ribosomal RNA is filed under the name uncultured bacterium. RNAcentral's name for it is "partial 16S ribosomal RNA". It matches the Rfam family "Bacterial small subunit ribosomal RNA", at positions 524 to 776 of the family's 1533-position model. The record is from RNAcentral.